AACGAACGCUAUCGGUAUGCUUAACACAUGCAAGUCGGACGGACCAAUUAGGGCUUGCUCCACUUAGUUAGUGGCAGACGGGUGAGUAACACGUGGGAAUCUGCCCAUCAGUACGGAAUAACUUUUAGAAAUAAAAGCUAAUACCGUAUAUUCUCUACAGAGGAAAGAUUUAUCGCUGAUGGAUGAGCCCGCGUCAGAUUAGGUAGUUGGUGAGGUAACGGCUCACCAAGCCGACGAUCUGUAGCUGGUCUGCAGGGAUGAUCAGCAACACUGGAACGGAGACACGCCCCAAACUCCUCCGGAAGGAGGAGGGGGGGAUAAUGGAACAUGGGGCAAAAGCCGAAUCAGGCAAGACCGGGGAGGUAAUAAGGGCCUUGGGGUGGAAAGGCUCUUUUAGCGAGAAGAUAAAGAACGUACCUGGCAAAAAAGGCCCGGGCAAACUCCGU
This 446-nucleotide ribosomal RNA is filed under the name uncultured bacterium. Its description in RNAcentral is "partial 16S ribosomal RNA". It matches the Rfam family "Bacterial small subunit ribosomal RNA", at positions 29 to 506 of the family's 1533-position model. The record is from RNAcentral.